Molecule: long non-coding RNA, 799 nt
Organism: Populus euphratica (Euphrates poplar)
Lineage: Eukaryota; Viridiplantae; Streptophyta; Magnoliopsida; Malpighiales; Salicaceae
Exons: 2
Source: RefSeq, a predicted model, not a curated record
AUUUUCUUUCUUCACAAUUCCACAAAAAACCAAAAACUUAGGAUAUAUAAAGUUGAAUUGUAUUUUAAAAUUUAGCUUCUAUGGAUUUAGCAAUGUUUUGUCUUGUUUCAUUUACCAAUAUCAACCUUGUAUUUAUAAAAAUGCUCAUUUUUCUAGUUUUUUUAACCCUUUAUUUUCCUCUCAAAACCUUAAAAACAAGAGAGACAUGGCUUCAUGAUGAGAAAUAAAAGCUUAGUACAAACCUUUAGAUCCUACCUUUAGAGAAACCAUACAACAUUGCACAGGCAAUAAAAAAGAGGAGUUCAUCACUCUCCCAACAUGAUGAUGAGAGCUGGAUAGGUCUAUUACCAACUAUAUGAAGAAUUUAAGCAAGAAUAAGAGAAAAGCUGAACUUGCCAUUCAACAGAAGAUCCCAACACUAGUUGUUACGUUGUUAUUCACACAUGGGAAAGUGAAUUCUCUGGAUGGGUAAACCUCUUUUUAUUCGAGCAAGAAACUAACACCAUGCGGUGUUAAAGAUCCAGAUCUCUAUCGAGAUUGUUGAGCCUGAUGAGAUGAUUUGAUCACAUGGGAUUCUUAGAUACAAUUGAAUUUAAGAUGAUAGCUAGGGUUCAUGUUUGGAAAAGAGAUGAUCUGAUCACAUUUAUUUAUUUAUUUAUUUAAUAUAACAAUAUACAUUUUAAAUCACGAUUGUAUUUUAUUUUUAAUGAUUAGCACAAUCACAGAGGAAUCAAUUGGAUUACUUGAUGAUAAGUUAAACUAUAUAUCACGAUAUAAUAAAUAUAAAUUUUUUAUAGUA